AUGUUCGGGUCCUCAGACUCCGCCCUUGUGUCAGCUUUCAAUCUUUGUUUCUGUGUAAUUGGAAUAAAGACGCAACGCCUCCGCUUCAGGACCAUAAAGCUCGGCUUCAGGUGGACUCGUCAUGAGCAGCGGGUUCAGACCUGCGUCCGUGAAGAGAUGGAGGCGCAGGUCCGAGCUCUGCUCCUGCUUCUAGUUUUAACCCCAUCUACUGCUGAGAAGAACCUGACAGGAACUGUGGGAGGAAGCAUCACUCUGCCUGAACCUGUGCUGGAGCUGGGGUUCAUUAUAUAUGGAACAAAGACUGUAGCCAUUGUGGUUGAUGGGAAAAUGAAGAUAGUAGAGAAAAUGUAUCAGAACAAGCUUCUGUGGAGCGACAGAACUGGAUGCUUCACAAUAACAGACCUGCAGAAAAACGACUCAGGGAUUUAUGCUGUUGACCGUAAAGAAAGUGGUGUCAGCACAGCUUAUAAACUCAGCGUGUUUGACUCCGUCUCGGCUCCGACAGUGAACAGACUUGGCUCCGACAGCUGCGUCCUGCUGUGUGAGGUGGUCAACGCUGAGGAGACCACUCUGCUGUGGUACAAAGAUGACGAGGUGGUGAAGCAGAACAGCUCGGCUCCGUCUCUGUCGCUCACUGUACACGAGCAGGACUACAGAUCCUCCUACAGAUGUGUGGCUGCCAACCCCGCUGAACACAAGGCUGAACCAGUCAACCUGGAAGAGACCUGUGGACCCACCUACACAGGAAGGAACCAGGAGAAGCCGGAGGAUCGGAGUCGAGUCAUUGGCAUUGUUGUCUCCAUUGUGUCUGUGGUCGUCAUUGCGAUUGUUGGUAUCAUGAUUAAGAAGCGUUACCACAACCAGAAACCCACAGCAGCACAAGGUCCAGACAACGUGGAAACAGAGGUCCAGUACACUGAUGUACAUUUCUAUGACGACACACGCGGUCAGCAGAGAGAAAAUGUCCCAGAACCCUCAGGAAACCACGGCCGCACCCAGCUGGAAACGGUCUAUGAUAAACUGGAGGUUCACCGCUUGGUCCAACAUUCAGACCGUGGUUAG
RNAcentral lists this long non-coding RNA (1062 nucleotides) under Betta splendens (Siamese fighting fish). RNAcentral's name for it is "lncRNA (ENSBSLG00000015829.1)". The record is from RNAcentral. Lineage: Eukaryota; Metazoa; Chordata; Actinopteri; Anabantiformes; Osphronemidae.